Long non-coding RNA from Solanum lycopersicum (tomato), 4262 nucleotides. RefSeq lists it as uncharacterized. Lineage: Eukaryota; Viridiplantae; Streptophyta; Magnoliopsida; Solanales; Solanaceae. The record is from RefSeq and is a predicted model, not a curated record.
CUACUAGUGAAGAUCGGCAUCCAGGUAAUGUUAUUCCUCAAUUGACUUAAUUAAUUGUUUGUUUAGAAUUACAAUUAGGCGUAUGCAUGAGUGGUGGAGGCGUUGGGUUGUUGAUGUAGUAUUACAAGUUAAUAGUAAUAUUAUUAUAUUGUUGGACAGGAAAUCUCCCCCUAUUUAGAAGACACAGUUUAGAGGGACGAACACAACAACACAAAUUUGUACCAAAAGCAAGUUUAAUUGUACACCUUUCUUUUCAUAAAAUGUAUGUAUUGUAAUAUUUUAACACGUGUAGCUUUCUUUCUCUGCAUAAUACAUCUAUACUAUAUUUACCCAUCUAGACCCUAUUAUUGAAGAAGAACCGACCAUUUAUUUCUCUCAAAGCCGGUGAAAGAGGAUUAGAAAUUUCUUCCUAUUCAGAUUUGUUAAUGCUUUUUUAGUCCAAACAUAUUUCAAUCUAGAUGAACACUGGCAAGCCCUUGAAGUUGCUUAUCGAAUCUCACUUGGAUAUGGACAUUUGACGUGGGAAUGGGAAAAGGGUAUAAGGAGUUAUUUUCAUCCAGUGAUAUUUACUGGAUUGUAUAAAGUUCUUGCCCUUUUUCAUCUUGACAAACCUUGUUUCAUGGUAAGAAUUGGAUAUCCUGGUUGCCUGCCUAAUGUAUCAAAUAAUGGUAGAGAAGCAGCUUCAAAGGCAAGGUAAGAUUAUACAUUUAAUGGCAAGAUAAGUAAUGGCUUGAUGUGGUCACAUGUUUGACGAGUUUUCUCAGUGAAGGUAUGACUUGUGUAUUAUGAAGAGAGAUUAGUUACAAGAGUUGAUUAUGUUGGUGGAAUGAAGUUGAACGGUGAGCUUAGAUGAAUAGACAUUUUCCUCUAUAAUAUCUUUUUUUCAUAUGGUAUUUUUCCCCAAUAAAAUGAGUAAUUUUUAUAUGUUAAAGGUUUCUACUUUGGAGUGAUUUUAUUUUCCUGUGAUGUCACAACUUUAAGGCAUUAUUGAGAAAGAAUUUGAGCUGCCGAAUUUUUUGAUGCUGCCAUGAAAUAAGAAGUUAUAUCGUAAUGCUAAAAUUUCAGGGUAAGCUUUCACUAUUGAUCUUUUUGUUGGUUGAAGUUGAACUACAUUUUUGAAAAAAUUCAGCUACUAAUAUAGUUAGCUGAGGUGGUAUUCAAAAAAAUUGUUUUAAAUUACAUAGUCAGAAAUAACAAACAGGUUGAAUCAGGCAAAAAUGUUGAUUUCAGGCUCUCCAAUCUCCAAGUUCUCUAAGGUACCAUUCCCAUUUUCUUAAGAAGCUUUGAACUUUUUGGCCGUUUUCUUUUGACAAUUGAAUUUUUUCGCUAUUCUGUGUUAUUUAUUGAUAAUGUCCCUUGAUGUUGGUGUUGCAUUUAUUUUUUAGUAGUUCUUGGAUAAAAGCUGAAACAUUAAUAUUGAAAAUUCUAUUACUACAUUGAGUUCUAGAAGUCUGUCAUAUGAUCUUAUACUUUCUCAAAGUUUCUGCCUCAUGUGUUCAUAUUAGUUAAGAUACAAUUGAUGAUGUUAGAAAUUUUUUUCAUCUGAUCAAUCAAAAAAAAUGAAAAUAGGAAAUCUAGCAAAUAAGUAACAAUGUUGAUGCUAGAAAAAAAAUUGAGAAAUGAGAGUAAUAAAAUGUCCACUUAAUGGAAGAAUCCUAUAAGACUAACACUUUUCUUUAAUCUCGAGUUUGUUGCUCAAGAGUAGCUACUAUUCAAGUUUCUUCUGAUAACUCUAGACGAGUUAAUAAAAUAAAGAAAUAAUAAUGACGAUUUCAAGUACUAAAUUGAUAGUUCAAUUUGAAAAUAUUGAUUGAAAUCCACAAAACAAAUCCGCUAUGAAAUUCAUAUCAUUAAAUACAAUUACAGAUUGUCGACCUACUAAUAACUAUUUAUGUUCGACAAAUGUUCGAUAGAACUUUGAGUGCAUCACUGAUGAAAAUAAGUAGAAUGUUUAUAGUACUUAUAUGUAGGUAUCUGCUUAUGGGAAGAGGAAAAUCACGACUCACAAAAAUGCAAGUGAUAUGAUUAAGCUCAGUAGAAUUGUUGUCGCAAAAGUAAUACAAAUUUUUGUUGUAUUUGAACUCACUUUGUUGAACAAGACACAAGUCCUACUUGAUAUUUUCAAAUAUACAUAUGUCCCUUUUCAGUAGAUAAGACAUGUUCCAUUUGCUACUUACCAGAGACACAACUAUGACCACCUCCGUUCAUCAUCUCUGUCAUUUACCUAGAAGAUUAGAAGCAACUUUCAAAAUCUUCAGGUGUGAUAAUAUUGCUCUUCUCUACUUUCAAUUUCCAAUUUUUUCCUAGAACUUUUCUCAUAUGCCUGCAAAUAUGCUAUCUUGAUCAUUUGUUUUGAUUCUAAAAGCAUUUUUCAUUGCUUUAUGAUCUUCACAUGGAUAUACCAGUGAUUGAUAAUUAUGUAUGAAAGAACUGAAUAAUAUUAUCUUCCUUCUUAGUUUUUCCCUUUUUUAAUCUUUUUCCUUCGACUUUUUGAGUUGCUCCUCUCCUUUGGUUCAUAUUAUGCCACUUUGUAUCUACAAACUAUUUUCAUCCAGGUAAUUGCUUAAUUUGUAUUUAUUGUAAAGGAAUUUGUGGUCUUAAUUCAAUGUCGGCGGGGUGAAAUGUUUGAUUGGAAAUUCAUUGAGGAGUUACUAAGCUUGUUCUUGAAGAUGCAUGCGUUUCUCGACUUGUGCAUGGUAUAACCUUAAAUUCUCACCUCCUCUGUAAUUAUCUCAUUUAUAAGCUUAAAUUUUUCAGUGUGAACUUAAGUUUACUUAUUAAUGUACUCAAUGUGACUUCACGCGUAAAGGGGCUAAGCAUGUGAAUAUUCCUUUUUGACAAUGGGCUCAUCCCCGCCAUUGAUCUAUAAAUUUUCAUAUUCCGCAAUUUUGGUUGUCAAAAUUUUAUUUGUUUAUAUUUUAUUGAAGUGUAUUGUGUAGUUCAUCUCAUCUACUAAGUGAUUAUUAGAGAAAGAAUAACAAACAUUUAUCUUACUUAAUUAUUUUAUUGUGUUAACAAUUAUGAAUUACAUUGCCCUUUUGCACCAAAGGAUCACAUUAAUCAUUAACUAGGGAAUUAAUUUCUUUAUUUCCUACAUCUACCUUAUGUUUAAGUACAAAGUUGGGCAAAGUAUAAUAUUAGUUUCUCUGCAUCUUCAUCUGAUGUUGGUUGUUGUUCAUAAGCUCUAGCAUUUCUAUAAUGGAUGCAUUUGAUCAACAACGUAAUGAAUUGAACACAUCCUUAAAUCUUCAGUUCCCAAAAUUUUAAUUUCAGAUUCUCUUCUGAAAAUCAAUAUUUUGUCUCUAAUGGUGGGACAAUAUAUGCAUUACAGCCAUCCUCUCGAGUACAAAUAAUGCGAGUGAAAUUAGUGUAUUUUUUUUCAACUUAUAAAAAUUGUUCUUUGUGAAGUCAUUUAAUAAAGAUAGAUUUGUUGAGUACAAAUAAGAUGAGAAUGGUGAAUGAUUUGUAAAAAUCAAAUAUAUGUAUAUAAAAAAAAUCCAAGAAAGGAUAUUUGUUACCAGUGUAGCGGGGAAUCAAAAUUAUGGAUAUUUGAUGCUUUUUUCGUUACUGUUUUCUCAAAGCUGAUUUUGCAUUUUCUUCUUCAUGGUUGCUAUUCGACAUUUAUUUUUAUCCAAUUCUACCAUUGCGGGAGAGUUGAUUCAGGUUCCUAACAUGCUUUUUUCUACAUCUCUUUUCUUUUAAUAUUAACAGAGCUACACAUUACUCUCGCCAAGUUUAUUUUUCCAAAAGAAAUAGAAACAUUAAGUCCUUAGCACACAAUUUUUAUAUGAUACUUUUAUUUUUCUGCUUAUCGUGAUUUGAAAAUUUCCUUAGUCGGAGAAGGUUACUGAUUUUUGUUUCAAUAUGAAUAAGGAUUGAAACCAGUUCUCUUUGUUGAAGUUUUUCCUAGGUGAGACAAAUGCAUUUUUUUAAUUCUAUAGCCGUCUACUUUAAUUUUUGUAGCCUUCUUAAUUUCAAGUUUCUUCAGUUGAUUAUCUUUCACUUUUUUACUAGCUUCUUGAAGGUAUCUCAUUAUAGCUUCUUACUAUGUGGUUUGUGGAAUAGCCAAGGUUGGUUAUAGAAUACUUAGCAGUGCCUAGCAGUGCAGUAUAGCUCAACUUAUUGAAAUGAUAAAUCAAGACACAUUUGAAGAUACAUAUAUUCGAUGUCUCAUAGUAUUUUUGAUAAUGUACUUGUAUUUUUACUUGUAGAAGAUACCUAUCUUAUUAAACACAAUGAUAUACAGAACAAAUAUUUUCAUA